UGGGGAAUUUUGGACAAUUGGGCGAAAGCCUGAUCCAGCAAUGCCGCGUGUGUGAAGAAGGCCUUCGGGUUGUAAAGCACUUUUGUCCGGAAAGAAAUCCUUGGCUCUAAUACAGUCGGGGGAUGACGGUACCGGAAGAAUAAGCACCGGCUAACUACGUGCCAGCAGCCGCGGUAAUACGUAGGGUGCAAGCGUUAAUCGGAAUUACUGGGCGUAAAGCGUGCGCAGGCGGUUUGCUAAGACCGAUGUGAAAUCCCCGGGCUCAACCUGGGAACUGCAUUGGUGACUGGCAGGCUAGAGUAUGGCAGAGGGGGGUAGAAUUCCACGUGUAGCAGUGAAAUGCGUAGAGAUGUGGAGGAAUACCGAUGGCGAAGGCAGCCCCCUGGCAAGUCACUGACGCUCAUGCACGAAAGCGUGGGGAGCAAAC
RNAcentral lists this ribosomal RNA (427 nucleotides) under uncultured bacterium. RNAcentral's name for it is "partial 16S ribosomal RNA". It matches the Rfam family "Bacterial small subunit ribosomal RNA", at positions 355 to 773 of the family's 1533-position model. The record is from RNAcentral.